Molecule: non-coding RNA, 255 nt
Filed under: Pelosinus fermentans
Lineage: Bacteria; Bacillati; Bacillota; Negativicutes; Selenomonadales; Sporomusaceae
Description: T-box sequence
Rfam family: T-box leader
About the family: Uncharged tRNA acts as the effector for transcription antitermination of genes in the T-box leader family. T-boxes are found upstream of many aminoacyl-tRNA synthetase genes and some amino acid biosynthetic genes usually in Gram-positive bacteria.
Source: RNAcentral
GUAAAUGUGAUGAGGGAGAAUGUUGCAAUCCUAUGAUCGUUUCAGAGAGCCGGUGGUUGGUGUGAACCGGUAGCGAGGGGAAUGUAAAAAUCACUCCUGAACAGCAAAGCUGAAAUGUAAAAGUAAGCUGCGCCGGUUUCAGCUCCUUAAUGGAGUGCAACCGUUAUCUUGCUAGGGUUGUUAGACCUGAUGAGAGGUAGACCAAUUGGUCUAUGAAAAAGGGUGGUAUCGCGAGAAAUUUCUCUUGCCCCUUUG